UACGAAGGGGGCGAGCGUUGUUCGGAUUUACUGGGCGUAAAGGGCGCGCAGGCGGCCAUUCAAGUCAGGCGUGAAAGCCCCGGGCUUAACCUGGGAGGUGCGCUUGGGACUGGGUGGCUAGAGAUCGGGAGAGGAGAGUGGAAUUCCCAGUGUAGAGGUGAAAUUCGUAGAUAUCAGGAGGAACACCAACGGCGAAGGCAGCUCGCUAGGACGGUACUGACGCUAAGGCGCGAAAGCGUGGGGAGCGAACAGG
Molecule: ribosomal RNA, 253 nt
Filed under: uncultured bacterium
Lineage: Bacteria
Description: partial 16S ribosomal RNA
Rfam family: Bacterial small subunit ribosomal RNA
Source: RNAcentral